Hydractinia symbiolongicarpus is the source of this 11946-nucleotide RNA transcript. RefSeq lists it as uncharacterized. The record is from RefSeq and is a predicted model, not a curated record. Lineage: Eukaryota; Metazoa; Cnidaria; Hydrozoa; Anthoathecata; Hydractiniidae. The transcript is spliced from 2 exons.
CUUUGAAGUAGCGUAAACUUUGAAAUAAACGAAUAGAACCUUAGGGUCACCGAGAUAUCCCGCAUGACCGAGAUCUCAGAUAUUUGCGGAAGAACGCUGAAAAUUGAAAUCGUGUUUAUAUGGUGCAUAUUCAUCUCGCCCCGGUUACAACGGGAAACUCGGUCAACCGAGAUCCCGGGCAAGUGAGCCGGGACCCCGGUCAAACGGGAUGGAUAUUUGUUCAUGUAAACAGAAAAACCCGGUGGCAAAGUACGGAAAAAGUUUAUGUAAUCUUAGAGGAGCAAGUAAUUAUCACUUUUAAUGCAUAUCAAUGGACAUAUUUGUUUUUGUAUCAUAGUGUAUUUGUAAUAAAAGACAACAAAACCAUGAAACAUGCUUAAAACACCAGGUUUCACUAACAUUACAAUUGAGAAUGAUCUAAGAUUAACUUUUAAUCAUGUUUCAAGCGUGUGGGAGAUGUUAAUGAAUAAUAUUUAAAUUGGUCAGAAAUGAUGGUAAUUUUCAAAAAGUUUGAGAAAUAAUUAAUAGUGAUAACACAGUUGUUUCAAGCAUCAACAGUAUCGCUAUCUUCUUUUUUUCUGUUGUUGGAAGCCAUAUUUGCUUACAUAUUCACCCCGCCACUUUUAGUUUCCCCCAAACUUUUCUUCGUAUAAACCCGGGAUGGGAAAUGACAAAUUUACAUAUAAACCCGAGUUAAUAUUAACCCGCUCUACCGGGAAAUUUGUUGGGCGAGUUUCUCGGUUCUCAUAUAAAAAGGCCCUUAAAAGCCAGGCUUGUGAUAUCAGACUGUCAUGGCGGCGAACAUAGAAAACUAUGAGUGAGUAUCACCGUGUACCUGACACCGAUGCGAUGAUGGUAGUGAUCUAAAAGAAUCUUUUAAUUAAUUAUACAUUCUUGCAUUACAUGGCUGUAAAAAUAACUUUUUUGAUAAUGUUGAUAGCUAGCUAGAUCAAUUUCCAUGCUGGACUCGUCACUUGAACACUGAAGCCUACCACACCCUGGAGGUGGCUAGCUAUGUAAUGUUGUUAACACAGGCUGUAAUUUCCCAAACAAUAAUUCUACGUUGCACUGCUGCUGACUAUCUAUUCCUAAAAUUGUCUUGUAAUGUAAUUUUUUGUUGUAUUAUUAGCUAUUAGACUUAAUGCACAUUUUAAAAUAAAGUAACUCCCCAACUUGUCGAAUUUGUAACUCAAAAAUUUAGCACUCACAAAUAUGUAAACAAAAACUGAUAUUUUUAAAAAAUUGUUUUAUAUUUUGGGCCUAGUGUGAUGUCGUUCUGCAAAGUUUUAGGUGAAAAUUUACCAUUUUUAUGUGAAAAAAAACAAUUUUGUAUAACCGUAUGAAUAUUUUUAAUAUGAAGCAUUCUUAGUCUUUUUUAGGACUUUUUUGUUGUGAUAGAUGAAACAUGUAAAUUGAUUUAUUAUAGAGCUGAUUAUACCAGCGGUUUGGUCUUUAAAAUCAAUACAGCCAUCAUAAACUGUUAUUUCGCAGCCGUGCCGUGAACAAUACAAUAGUUUAAUUUUUUUUGUUUUUAGAUAGUUAGAAUGUAGAUAAAUUGUGCACUAUUUGUAAACUAAUGAAACACUAAAUCACUGAGGUAUGAAAUAUUUGUGAGUUAUAUAAGAACGGAAAAUGCCGUACUUACAUAAAAAUGCAAUUUAUACUUUAUAAAAUAUAAUGUUAUGUUGUCUUGUGCCGAAUUUUAUUCUGCUUUUUUUCUCACACACGCUUUCAUAAAACAGUACUCUUAUGCGGCAUACCGGAAAAGUAGAGCGCGGGACGCAGGACCUUGUUGAGUAAAAAUAUUAUUUACACCAUUAUGUCACGAGCCGACAUUUUGCUGCACCAGCUAUAUAUCUCCCCAGGGUAUUUUUCACAUACACGUGUUCUAUUAUUCAAGGUGUUGAAACAAUCAAAUGAAUUUUUUGAGCUAUGAAUCCAGGUGUGUUAAGUUUCCAAGUUGUAGGGUUGUAGCAGAUUAUAAAGAUUGUUUUAGUGUUGUUAAUAGCAAACAUUAAAAUUACAGAAAAAAUAAACACUUCACGGUCAUAUACUUAUUUUUUAUUACCACAAAUUUAUAAGAAAAAUGAGCCUAAAAUUUUCUGAAAAAAUAGAACAGAAUAAGAACAUAAGACUGAAAUUUCACUGAUUUGCUCUUUUUUCUUGAGAAAAACACACUAGUUAAUUUUAAUACGAGAUAAAAUCUAGACAAAUUUUACUAUGUCAGAGGUCAGAUUUUUAAAUGCUGAAAGUGUUUGCUGCAUUUUCUGUGCAGAAAUGCGAACUCAGCUGUUGAAAAAUGGCUAAUGCAGAAAAGUGCUUUGGCAAGUUAUGGCUUAAGGACUGUGUGAUAGAUAUGAGAGAUAAAGGGAUGAGGGAGAAAGAAGUUAAACUCAUUUAUGAAAUGAACAAAGAACCCAGAAUUGUGGUGGAUACUCCAGCUGGUUUAAUAAAAGAGGUACGGGUGGAAAAAAUAGUAAAGCAAGGAACUGUAUUUGGCUCGGUAUUGUGUUUUCACCAACGUUAGCAGUAAAAGCAUAUGGCUUCGUGGAUGGCAUAAUACGGUCACAUAGGAGGAGCAGGGAGAAAUCUGAGCGCAAUGGAGAUCAAAAAGAAAUGCACAUUCAAUAAUACCAACGGGAAAAGCCAUUGCAUAGUGAUUAAACAGGGAGAGAGUCAGUAGAAGGAGUGAAAGUGAAAGUUAAAAAGAACGCAUAGAGGAAACAAAAGAGAAUAAAUAUUUGGGAAAUGACAUAACAACUACUGGGACCGUGGAAAGACAACUAGAAGAGGCUGAGAGGAAAAGUAAAGCGAUGAUUGAAGAGGCAAAGAGAAUAGCAGACAGAGGGAAAUGUGGAGAAAAAAGCACAGAUGCGAUAAUUCUCAUGUACGAGAAAACGAUAGUACCAGGAAUCUUGUAUAAUUUGGAAACAUGGAGAAAAUGGAGGAAGAAUGACUAGGAAGAACGAAGGUAUAGGCUCGUGCACUGAAGAAUAUGUUGCGAAUGUCAAUCUUAACACUAUACUGGGGAAUUAUCAAUGAAUAGGGAAUGUGGACAAUGAAGGCGAGGGUGGUGUGUAAAAGAAUGGUGCUGCUGCUGCAGAACAUUAUGAGCUCAAAUGAACGAGAAAGAGUAUGCAAGAGUGUAAUAUUAGAAUAGUAAAGUCAAGGAUGGAAAUAAACUGGUAUAGAGAAGUAGAACAAGAUGGAAAUGAUUAUAGAAUAGAUGUACAGCGCGUUGAAAAAUAUAAAGAAAUCGCAGUGGAAAAAAUUGGUAAAGAAACAGAUCUAGAGAAAGAUGGAAAAAGAAUCAGAUGAGAAAAAAAGGAAUAUGAGUAAGCUGAAAAGUCAAGUAAGGCAAAAAACAAGGAAACAUAAUGAAAAAGGAGACAAAAGAGUUAUCAGAUAGAAUAAAAACAAAACUGAGAAUGUGGAAUAUAGGAAAAAUAUGAGAGCAAAGAUAGCAUGCUUUGGAUGUGGAAAACUGAGGAAACAUAGGAGCACAUACUAACACGCAAAGAGGUAAUAGAAGAGAUGAGAUGGAAAGGAAAGAUCAUGGUAAUUACGACGGAUAUCAGAAGUGAGGAAAACUGGAACUAUGAGGACACGAUGUGCAAAACGUUUCAUCCACAGGAGAACACUGUUGGAAAAAUAAAACAAUGUAAAAAGAGCCUUGCACACUAAGACAAAGACUUUGGAGAGUGCUUACCGACAAAGGCAAAAAGGGCAUUGCAAGAUCAAAAGAACCAAAAAACACCAUUAAGAGCCGGCUGGUGCCAAAUAACAUGGCACCAUGACACCAUGGCACCAACCAUAGAUCUGCCUUUAAGCUGUAACUUUUUUUAGCUGAUAAUCUUUGUCAGAAAAUCUGGCAAAAGUUUAUUUAUGUCAAUAAUUUUUUAUCAUUUCAUUGCAGAGGUAGGCCGUGAACGACUGUGCAGAAGGUAUUAGCGAUCUUGCCACAAAUGGUUGCGGAGACUUUUUGAUUUCUUCUUUUUUUUUACUUUUUUAUUGAAUGUUUGUUCUUUCAACUUUAUUUCAUAAAAAAUUCAAAUAAUGGUUGUGAUUACCUCCGUAGCAGCAAUAAAAUGAUUGUAAAAUCAUUUAAGUGACUUGUCAUUAAAUAAUCCUGUCAUCAUUUUUCUUUAAAAAAAUAUUCAAACUGCAAUUUCAAUCACAAAAAUAUUUCACAAAAAUUUCUGUUCAUGCCUCUUAUUCCCAAAAAUAAAUUUUGUGAAAAUUUCUUACUUUUGAUAUUGAAUCUAACUAUCAACAUAAACAGUUUACAUGAAAUUUCAAAUGCAAGCUAUCAAUUCUGUGUAUCGUGUAUCACAAACACAAAUAGAUUGGUGGCCACAUUCAAAUAUCUAUUCCAAGAAUUUUUUUGACCUUUUUGCAUGAGUACUAAAAUUAUAUUGAUGAUUAUACGAAGCAGUUUGGCUGUGUUGGCUCAGUUGUAAGGUUAGCCCGUUUAAAAAAAAAAUCAUAUUUAUUGGAAAAGUCAUCCCAAGAAAUGACCUAUACUGGUUUCGGGUUGAAAAAAAAUGUACUUUCCUUUUUAAAAAAAUCACAUCCAAGGUCUAAAUAAAAUAAUUUAAAAUUGUUCGCGAGUAUUUGAAGUAUCAAUGAUUUGGUAAUUCAAAUAUAAGAUGUUUCGUUUUUUACCUAUUAGCAGUAACUUUACUUAAAACAUAUGUGAAAAAAUUAUAAGUUUUCUUUUUUUAAAAGUUUUCACAAAAAAAAUCACUUUUAUUUUUAUACUCGGAGCUUUCUUAAUCCAUAACAGUUUACUUUCUCUUUUCAAUUCUUAAUAAGAGCAAUAAAAGAAAGAUCUACUUAAACAAUAAGAACUCAUGAUAGCUACAAACUACAUCAUAAGAGACUGGCCACGUAAGUAAGUUUCAGAUUAAAAUGCAGUUGAAACAUAAAAAAAGUUUUUUCCAAACUUAAAUAAGUUCUUUGGAGUCAUCAUUAAAUUCAAUUUCUUUUCAGGAUUAGAUCGGCUUUCUCAAUUUGUGCUAACUCAGGAAUUAAAUUACGUGCCCACAAACAAUAAGUCAAAUUAAAAAAUUAGCAUGGUGGCACCAAGUGAGCUGACAACUCUAUAUUUAAAUUGCGUCAGAGUGGGGACUCGAACCUGAAACGUUAUGAUUACAAGACGAAUGCACUACCACUACACCCUCCGCUUAAAUGGUUAAUUGGUUAAGGGUGGGUGGGUAGGGUUGUUUUUGGGUAAAAACAAGAAAGAGAUAAGCACGUAUGUUUCAAAAUGACAUAGUUGGUUGAAGAAACUUUAAUUCUUAUUUCUGCAUUGUUUUUUCUGACGUUUUUAAUUAUUUUAAUAAGACAUUCUAAAAUUGUUCUUAGUUUUUAACCAAGCUAUGCUACAGUGUUUUUUACUUACUUGAAUUUUUCGAAAUAUUAAAAGACCUUCGGACCUUUGAGCUCUAUAUACAAUUUCAUAUUGUAGUGUAUUUAGCUAACUUAAAGGGUUGGAAUUUUGGCACAAAACAUGAUGAGGUUUCCUUAGUUAAUACAAAGAAAAGGGUUCAUAAAUAUUGCCCCUACAACAAAGUAUCUGCGCUUACGUGUCUUUUCUCUACUUGUAGGCUACAUUGACCGUGUUUAUACUGUUUAAAAAAAGAAUAUUUACUGUUGUUGACUGUUGGCUUUGUGGUAGAGUGUUUGCACCCAGUGGGAAGGUCUUAGGUUUAAAUUCUAGCCGAGUAAUAACAAUAACAAUAACAAUAACAAUAACAAUAACAAUAACAUUAAGAUUAAGAUUAACAUUAACAAUAACAAUAACAAUAACAAUAACAAUAACAAUAACAAUAACAAUAACAAUAACAAUAACAAUAACAAUAACAAUAACAAUAACAAUAACAAUAACAAUAACAAUAACAAUAACAAUAACAAUAACAAUAACAUUAUCACUUUCUUUUUUUAUUCAAGAAAUCUGUAGUUCUUGUAUAUCUAUUUCACUGUCUUUGCAAGUAAGAUAUUUAUGCCGUAAACAUCUCUCUCCCCGAAAAUGGAUGGGUUUAUGGCUAUACAUGAAACGAAAGAAUAAGUCAAAGUUUUGUUUCUAUUUUAUUUAGAAUGCCAUGAAUUACAAGAAUACAGACAAACAUAAUCUAAAUAACAUAAAGUUUGUUGCAUAAAAAAAUAUUUUUACUGUUAAUAUUUCAUUUUCAAAUGCCCACGCAUAAUUUCAGCAAAGUUGAAUAAAUAAAAUCGUGAUAAUACACCUUUCCCGAGACUUAUUCUUUUGAUGUGCUGCAACUUUUUCUGUUGAGUUUUAUGAAAAACGGACAACAGAUUUGAAUUCCUUAUCAAAAAUGUCAUAAACAAACAAAAUUUCGAAACAAUGCAGCAAGUAAACAACCUACUAUUCUAAUUUAAAGAUUUGUGGCAUGUCCAACCUCUUUUUGAAAACGAGGCGGGACAUGGUAGCUUGAGCAUUAAGAAGACUUUAACUGUGAUAUAUAUCCCCUAAAAAUAGCACUUUCUGUUGGCGUAUCAAGUUAAACUUUUACAUAUAAAUUAAACAAACUAUGCUGAAUUCAAAUAUGGUAUUCAUAUUUUACAAGUUUAAAAAAAGUAUGACUCAUGGUCUCGGGAAAGGUGUAUAAAACACAACGCAGCACUUAGGCAUCGUCUAAUGGAAACAUUGUCAAAUUCUGACAAGAAUGUUCAAAUAAUUAAAAGAAUAGGGUGUGAAUUGCACGCUUCAAUAUGUUUUAAAUAUUUUAAAACGAAAUCAGAAAUAUUAUUUGUAAUCAUUUAAACUGAAGGUGAAAGAAGCAGUGUCGUCGAAAGUAGCUAAAGUAAGUUUUUUUAACUUUCUUUAUUUCGAAUACUCUUUCUCUCAACAUCCCAUGUCUGAACAUAUAUUUUAAUCCGUCGCCUGUUUUUCUGUCCCUAUAUUUUUUCACUAACCUCCUUUGUUAAACUCUAUUUCGUAUAACUUUUCCAGUCCCUUUGCAAGUUCGAGAUAAGAAGAGUCGACUGUAUUCGAUUUCUUUGAUCUACUGCAAGCUAUUCCUUUUAAUUUUACAUAAAGUAAAUAUGAGUUAAAAUCUUUCAUAAAACAUUGAUAUAUUCUUAAAGAGAUUCCUGCCUCAAAAAUGAAUUUUUUACAUGUUGUGGGGAAUAAAAAGUUGUUUAUCAAGUUUUUUGGAAUUUUUAAAAUAUCUUUUUUCGUUCUCAAGAUAAUAAGCUUCAAAGAUUUCCAGCUGAGCUUUUGAUAUGAUCAUUGAUGAUGUAUUAGCUAAGGUGGUAGGCAUAAAUUAUUAUUUGAGAUAUCUUGCAAAUUUACUUAAUAUCUCAACUUUUAAGCAGUGUGGACUUAUGCGUUUGAUGAUAUCUUGGUAUGUGCAAAGUAGAAAUGUGAUGUCAGCAUUUUUUAAAACGUACUUAUGACAUCAUAAGAAUAUUUAAAAUCUUGAGUAAUUUGAGAACUGAAAGGAUUUUAAAAAAAUUCCACAGGGCUUGAUAAAUAUGCAGUACAAAGAACGGACAGAAACUCUCUUUACUUAUUUUCUGUAUUCAGAGGAAGUGAUAGUGUAUCUACAUUCUAAAGCUAAGGGCGUUAGAAUAGUUGUUAGAAUAAUGUAAUUGAACGUGCCUAUCUAAAUGUCUUAAUAAUUUUCUUUAACAAACACUAGCUUUUUCUUGGAAGUUUUAAAGAAUGAAUAACAUAGCUGCAGAUCUCUGAACUUCUUUUAACUAUACAGAACUAUUAUUUAACUGUUAUGCUAUUACAAUGUCAAUAAUAGGUCUGGUGAACUAAACUCAUCAUUUUUCUCUUUUUGAUAUGUAAAUUCCAAAUACUGAAUGUUUGUUUUUAAAAAAACAUUCUCACAGCGAGGUGAUAGUUUGUUGCAGUUUGCACGUGUUUUACCUGUGAAUGAUAAACCCGCUCAACAAAAAUCAAAAACGUUCUUUAGGAGAAAAUAACAAAACAUAUAAUCGUAAGUUCAGUAUUUAAAAAAGAUGGCUUUCAGAAAAGAAAGUAAAAGUGAAUAAUAGCUCGUUUAAAUCUUUUUUAUCGUAGAAUUUUCUAAUUUUACUUUUUCUACAUUUUUCUUUUUUACAUUUUCUAGUUUGUUCCUAAAGUUAUUACUUUAGGAACAAACUUUUCCAUUCAGAAAUUAACCAAUGAGGGAAUACUGUAAUUGUUUACUCAAAGUUUAAAAGUUAAUAAUAACCGUGUAUUUCAAUGUACGAAUAUUUUAUUUUAUAAAAUUUGAAAUUAAGUAUCCAUACAGACACCUGCCAGAACUUCGCGCUGUGUUUCAAUAGAAUCUAGUUGUUUCUUCUUCUGUAUUUCUUCCUCCAAGAUUUAACUAAUCUGAAAAGAAUGCUCAAAUAUUAAAAAAAAUGCUCAAAAAUAAUUUUUUUCGCUUGAUUUUUCUUUUUGUUUUUGCACUGAACAUCCUUACUAAGUAUUCGAAGAAAAAAAAACAAGAAUGGAUUUUUUGAUUUUAAAAUAUUUUUAAAAACAAUUAAAAUAUUUGAAAAUGAUUUAUCAAUUCCUGAGUUAUUCCAUACAUUGUUAAGCUUUAAAAACAAAAAAAAAUAAUUAGUCUAUUUUAUAAAAGUACAUUAUCUAACAUCGAGUUGGAAAGGCAAGUGUUUCAAUCUUUUUAUGUCUGUUACAUCAUGACAUCAAAAUUGUCUGCAACCUUUUGUAUUCACUUGUGCAUUCGAAAGAUUUAAUUUAAAAUCUAAUUUCGACAAUUUUAUAAUUGUCGAAAUUAGAUUUAGAAAUUGCCACCAGUUAAAUGCGUGUACUCUUAGGGCCAUUUGAUUUUCAAUUUAAUUGAAAAUUGAAAAUCAGAAAUAAUGGCUAAUUUUGAUUUUUAAUUUAAUUUGAAAAUCAAAAAUCAAAAUUAUUUAAUGAUUUUUGAAUUUCAAUUUAAUUUGAAAAUUGAAAAUUUAAAGUUUAGAACUCAAGAAAGAUCAAAAAACAAUAAUUGAAAACUCAAAUUCAAAUUUUUCUUUUCAAUUUUAAGUUUCAUUACGCACGCGACACAUCGGUUAAACGUCAAACCAGUCUCAUCCCCAGGCGUCCUGGGUUCUUGCCUAGGGACAUGGUCAAAAUAAAGGGCGAGAUUCAUAUCAAACCUGUCCUUCUAAAUCAGACUUUAUUACAUCCGAAUGUUAAUCGGAAAUUUAAAAUAUUAUACCAAUAAUAGAUCGUCAUAUAUUGUGUUCAAUAAGAGACUGUCGAUGAAUGUCAACAAAUGUUCUAAACCAAAAAGAAGAUUUAAAAAGAAUAAAUAAUAAUAUUGCUUCUGAUUGGUGUAGUUACAUUUUUUAAAUUUCUCCUAUAAAAUUAAGGGACUCUGAAAAUAUUUGAUCUUAAACACUUCUUAGAAUAGCAUAAACUUUUAUUUCCAGAUCUUUUUUAACAAAAGAAAUCUAAGAGAAUAGACGCAUAUCAAGCAAAAGUCAAUUGAAACGAUAUUGGUAAUAAAAAGAAAAUAUCUGCCUGGCAGUCUCAGGACUUCCUGAAAACUUUGGACACCAAUUUCAGCUCCUUAUGAAACGCUCCUAAUAAAAAAACUCUAUGCAGGAGUGCAGUGGGUUGGUUAAAAAGAACCUGUUGGUUCAUUGCAUCAUAUUUGAUCGCGAAGAAAAAAAGAUUUUUAAUUUUUGAUUUUUAAUUUUUGAUUUUCAAUAUUCAAAUAUUCAAAUAUUUUAAAAUAUUUGAAUUUUAGUUUAUAAAUUUUGAAUUUCAAAAUAUAAAAGUUUAAAAAACAUGAAUUAGUACCAAAAUUUUGAUUUCUGAUUUUCAAUUAAAUUGAAAAUCAUAUGGCCCUAAGGGUACACGCAUUCCAGUUAAAUCCAUAAUUGUAAAAGCGGGAAUGCACGGUGAAAAUGUAUCUUAAAAAAACAUUCGAAACAUUUCUUUCUAAACUUUUUUGUUUUCGCGUGUUGUAAAAGUUUACGAUUGUUACCAAUUGAACAGUUACAUUUUUCUUGUCUUGAAAGAAAGACGGCUGGUAAUAAUUCAAAGCCGCACCAGUUCAUUGUAAACAAGAUUUUUAUGCAUUUCUAGCUUCGUGAGAAGGAAAAUGUGCGAAGAUGGAAAGUAAAAAGAGAUUUUAAACAGAAUUGUGUUUUUCUUUUUUUCACGUUUUUCUGCUUGUUUUAAAUUUCAAUUAUUUUUGUACAAGCUUUUGCGCUUCAACUUCAUUUUUAAGGGCCUGGUUAUGUGGCACAAAUUCGUAAAACCAACCUUAUGCUUGGUCUAGUUGUACUUAUUAAUUACAUGCGUUUGCUGAGGUGAAAUUUCGGAUCAGGGUGAUUUCACCCCUGUCUUUAGCAUAGGAGCUCCGGGGAGAAAAGCGUACAUAUUAUAGGAGUAAAUACGCAAAACCAUGCUGAAGGAAUGUUUUUCUAUCGCUCAUGUGCUAGUAUAUUUUACUAAUUCUUGAAGUUGUUGUGCUGCCCGCGUGUUCCACGUAAGUGAUUUUAUAAAAAAUUUUACUUUCACCCCGCGGUGAACUUAUACGUUUUUCACCCUGGCGUGAGUUGACUAUGUAAUUCAAUUUCACCCCUCUCGCAUGUAACCAUACACUUACUUAUCUCCAGCAACAAUUAAUUUUAAAAUACACACGUGCAAUAGGAAAAUAAAAAUUUCGAAACUUUUUUUAAAUGUUUCCAAAGAAAUAUUUCACCGUGUAUUCCCAUCUUAAGAAAAACUAUUCUAAACAUUUAGUUUUCUUCUUAUAUAAGUGCAACAAUAUAACUUAUUUCGUGUUGUCAAAUGAUUAGUUAAGUAACAUUGGCGUUGUUAACCGCCUGGAUUUUGCAAGUGGGCAAUACAAGCUUUUAGGCUUUCUGAUUGGCUUAGCGCACUUGCCGACGGGCUGUUAUAAAACAGUUUGAAACAGUAUUUUCUGUCGUCAAGAAGAAUGGUAGCUUAGAAUGUAGACAAGCACGAACACAAAUUUCAAGUAUUGGGAAUUAUUUUUAUCCAAUGCCUGGGUAUAUUAUCACAUUAGUACCAACCAGGUAAUAACUUGUUGCAGUAUUUUUUCUUUUCUUUUAGGCAAUAAGGAUGUGCAAGAAACUUGCCUUCUUUUUAUUGAUUGUCUAUGUAAGUCAUGUGUAUACUGACAUGCAAGAGGAAGCAGAUAAAGCUUGCAAAGAAAGACCAAAAUUUUACGAAGAGACGAUUAAGGUAGUAAAUGCUGUUGGUGCUGCAUUGGGAAUGGUUGUGGGUGACGGUAGAGUGUUCAAUAAAGCCCAUGUUAUCCCUUCUGACGCGAUGCGUACAAUGAUUUGCGGUGAGUUUGCUGGCUUCCAAGACGAUGAUGAAAGAGUGAGUGGAAGAGUGGUAUCACUGAUCUACUAACGCAACUGCAUACGAUUGAUCCAGAAUGGAAGGAUCUCGACACUUUGCAAUCAGAUGAAGCCUGGCCAGCUUUUGUAAAGCAAAAUAAUGAUAACAAGAAAAAAUGCAUCGUUAUCCUUGGAAAGUUUAAAAAUAAAGAUACCCGACCUGACUUAGAAAUAGCGAAAAACUUAGCAGAACUAUAUAGAUGUUUAAAUAGUUCUCCAGCGAAUUUAAGAGUAGGAUUCUCAAGAACCAACAGUGCUGUGUCAAACGCGUUGGAUCCAGUUUUAGCUAGAUCAGUUGAAAACGAUGAUGAAGUAACAUUUGAAGAUUUGACUUCAAAAUCGAAAAAGUAUCAAGACAAUUAUGGGGAGAAGUAUGGGUUGGUAUUUAAGGAGUAUGCUGAUGGUGGAAUUAUGACAUCUGAUCAACCGUAUCGUGGAUAGAGCAAAUAAAGACCCAUCGAAGACAAGAUUGUCAGCGUUGUUACCUUUAGUAAAAAUAUGUUAUUUACGUAGAUUCGUACUUAUACUUACGUUAAUAGGACUCUAGAAUGGGUUGUAAAAUAAACGAUUUUUUUAAAUGGAGUAAAUAAA